GGGGGUGACUUGGCUUCGACGGGGUGAGCGUAGUCACAGGUUGCAUGCCGAGUUUCCAUCACGGAUCUCUCGUAAAAAAAUCGGUGGUACUAUAAAUGUAAAUGCUGACAACUAUCAGUAUCGGAUGGCCGCCUAACAGCGCUGUCCCGUCCUCUUGAUCGUCCGCUUGCCGACGGUCUCUGAGGGCGCCAUAUAAUGGUGAGCUAGUGUAUCGUCUCGGUCGGUGGCGAUAUGCGAAACCUUAUCCGGCCUGGCCUGAAGACUGCCUCGCUGUCCGGCGACCCUUCAGGUAAGAUCAUAUAGGAUAACUAAGCAUGUAGAAGCUUGCUGGUUCGUCACUUCGGACCCGGGUUCAACUCCCGGCACCUCCACAA
Molecule: transfer-messenger RNA, 374 nt
Filed under: Balneolaceae bacterium
Lineage: Bacteria; Pseudomonadati; Balneolota; Balneolia; Balneolales; Balneolaceae
Also listed under: 1 other name
Rfam family: transfer-messenger RNA
About the family: Bacterial tmRNA, also known as 10Sa RNA or SsrA, is named for its dual tRNA and mRNA-like properties. Its role is to liberate the mRNA from a stalled ribosome.
Source: RNAcentral